Molecule: ribosomal RNA, 468 nt
Filed under: uncultured Desulfobacterium sp.
Lineage: Bacteria; Pseudomonadati; Thermodesulfobacteriota; Desulfobacteria; Desulfobacterales; Desulfobacteriaceae
Description: bacterial SSU rRNA
Rfam family: Bacterial small subunit ribosomal RNA
Source: RNAcentral
GGGGGCCCGCACAAGCGGUGGAGCAUGUGGUUUAAUUCGACGCAACGCGAAGAACCUUACCUGGGUUUGACAUCUCCGGAAUCUCUAUGAAAGUAGAGAGUGCCCUUCGGGGAGCCCGAAGACAGGUGCUGCAUGGCUGUCGUCAGCUCGUGUCGUGAGAUGUUGGGUUAAGUCCCCGCAACGAGCGCAACCCCUAUCUCUAGUUGCCAGCGAUUCGGUCGGGGACUCUAGAGAUACUGCCCCGGUUAACGGGAGAAGGUGGGGAUGACGUCAAGUCCUCAUGGCCCUUAUGCCCAGGGCUACACACGUGCUACAAUGGGCGGUACAAAGGGUAGCGAUGCCGCGAGGUGAAGCCAAUCCCAAAAAGCCGUCCACAGUUCGGAUUGGAGUCUGCAACUCGACUCCAUGAAGCCGGAAUCGCUAGUAAUCGUGGAUCAGCAUGCCACGGUGAAUACGUUCCCGGGCCUU